GAUAAGACUUUUGGGAAGUUAUUUAAGGAUCCCCCACGGUUCUGCUACAGGAAGGGCAUGAGUAUUAGGGACAUGCUAUGCCCUUCAGAGUUACCUAUAGAAAAGAAACAGAUGUUCCUGGGAAUACAGAAGAAAGGUACCUUUCCGUGCUUGAAUUGUGUCUGUUGCGCCUCGAUAAUAAAAGGGUCAAGCAUUAAUCAUCCCACUAAAGGCAAUAAACUAAAUUUGAAUGACUAUGCCACAUGUGAAUCGAAAGGGGUCAUAUACAUGUUGAAGUGCCCAUGUGGCCUAGUCUAUGUGGGGCAAACAAUUAGAAAUGUAAAAACCAGGAUUAAAGAGCAUAAAGGGGACAUAAGGAAUUAUAAACCAGGAUCUCAGACAGAUACGACUGUAGCCCGACAUUUUAAUGAGGCAAAACAUAGCCACGGGCAAUUGAAAUGGGUGGUCCUCGAAGUAGUACAACCAUUAAGUCGAGGUGGUAACUUUAAGCAAAAGAUGCUACAACGUGAAGCCAAAUGGAUUUCUAAAUUGAAUUCACUAGCCCCAGUUGGGCUUAAUGAUGCCUGGAGUUUGAAAUGCUUUUUAUAAGAAUUGUAAUAUUUACUCUUAUUUAUUUCAGAUAUUAAGUGAUGCCUAUCCUCUCAGCUGGGGGUAAGAGUGUAUCUGAAGAUAUGGAACCUUGGCACUUGGACACUACAUGUACACUGGAGAUCACUGGGACUUUUAAACGUUUUAUACGUUCUAUGUUUUCUACCUAUUUUACACUUUUACUCUGGACUAAUGAGUUAAUUGGUGGGAGGAGGAGCACUGUUUGGCAAUUAAGGCUAUAAGAUGUGGUUUGAUCAUGUGAUUGUUACACUUGAGAAAGGGUCCAUGUGACUCGAAACAUGUCGUGUGUACAAUAAAGCACUAACGCAGCAGA
Long non-coding RNA from Xenopus laevis (African clawed frog), 922 nucleotides. RefSeq lists it as uncharacterized. The record is from RefSeq and is a predicted model, not a curated record. Lineage: Eukaryota; Metazoa; Chordata; Amphibia; Anura; Pipidae. The transcript is spliced from 2 exons.